CCUACGGGUGGCAGCAGUGAGGAAUAUUGGUCAAUGGGCGGAAGCCUGAACCAGCCAAGUAGCGUGCAGGAUGACGGCCCUACGGGUUGUAAACUGCUUUUAUACGGGAAUAACGCGCCUUACGUGUAGGGCUUUGCAUGUACCGUAUGAAUAAGGACCGGCUAAUUCCGUGCCAGCAGCCGCGGUAAUACGGAAGGUCCGGGCGUUAUCCGGAUUUAUUGGGUUUAAAGGGAGCGUAGGCCGCAUGUCAAGCGUGCUGUGAAAUGUCCGGGCUCAACCCGGGCCUUGCAGCGCGAACUGGCGUGCUUGAGUCCGCGGAAAGCAGGCGGAAUUCGUGGUGUAGCGGUGGAAUGCUUAGAUAUGACGAAGAACCCCGAUUGCGAAGGCAGCUUGCUGCAGCGGAACUGACGCUGAUGCUCGAAAGCGCGGGUAUCGAACAGGAUUAGAUACCCUUGUAGUC
RNAcentral lists this ribosomal RNA (460 nucleotides) under uncultured bacterium. RNAcentral describes it as "partial 16S ribosomal RNA". It matches the Rfam family "Bacterial small subunit ribosomal RNA", at positions 338 to 795 of the family's 1533-position model. The record is from RNAcentral.